RNAcentral lists this ribosomal RNA (402 nucleotides) under uncultured bacterium. RNAcentral's name for it is "bacterial SSU rRNA". It matches the Rfam family "Bacterial small subunit ribosomal RNA", at positions 358 to 776 of the family's 1533-position model. The record is from RNAcentral.
GGAAUAUUGCACAAUGGGGGAAACCCUGAUGCAGCAACGCCGCGUGAAGGAAGACGGUUUUCGGAUUGUAAACUUCUGUUCUUAGUGAAUACGAAUGACGGUAGCUAAGGAGCAAGCAACAGCUAACUACGUGCCAUCAGCCGCGGUAAUACGUAGGGGGCAAGCGUUAUCCGGAUUUACUGGGUGUAAAGGGGGCGCAGACGGCAAUGCAAGCCAGGAGUGAAAGCCCGGGGCCCAACCCCGGGACUGCUCUUGGAACUGCAUGGCUGGAGUACAGGAGGGGCAGGCGGAAUUCCUAGUGUAGCGGUGAAAUGCGUAGAUAUUAGGAGGAACACCGGUGGCGAAGGCGGCCUGCUGGACUGUGACUGACGUUGAGGCCCGAAGGCGUGGGGAGCAAACAGG